ACUGCUAAUACCGCAUAACGUCUACGGACCAAAGGGGGCUUCGGCUCACGCCCUUAGAUUAGCCCAAGUGGUAUUAGCUAGUUGGUGAGGUAAUGGCUCACCAAGGCGACGAUCCCUAGCUGGUUUGAGAGGAUGAUCAGCCACACUGGAACCGAGACACGGUCCAGACUCCUACGGGAGGCAGCAGUGGGGAAUAUUGCACAAUGGGCGCAAGCCUGACGCACCCAUGCCGCGUGUGUGAAGAAGGCCUUAGGGUUGUAAAGCACUUUCUGUUAUGUGUAAAGGUUAGUAGUUAAAACCUGCUAGCGGUGACGUUACUUACAGAAGAA
This 329-nucleotide ribosomal RNA is filed under the name uncultured Gammaproteobacteria bacterium. Its description in RNAcentral is "bacterial SSU rRNA". It matches the Rfam family "Bacterial small subunit ribosomal RNA", at positions 159 to 489 of the family's 1533-position model. Lineage: Bacteria; Pseudomonadati; Pseudomonadota; Gammaproteobacteria. The record is from RNAcentral.